Molecule: ribosomal RNA, 254 nt
Filed under: uncultured bacterium
Lineage: Bacteria
Description: partial 16S ribosomal RNA
Rfam family: Bacterial small subunit ribosomal RNA
Source: RNAcentral
UACGUAGGGGGCAAGCGUUGUCCGGAUUUACUGGGCGUAAAGGGCGCGUAGGCGGCCACCGCAAGUCGGUUGUGAAAUCUCUGGGCUUAACCCAGAAAGGUCAACCGAUACUGCGGGGCUAGAGUGCAGAAGGGGCAACUGGAAUUCUCGGUGUAGCGGUGAAAUGCGUAGAUAUCGAGAGGAACACCUGCGGCGAAGGCGGGUUGCUGGGCUGACACUGACGCUGAGGCGCGAAAGCUAGGGGAGCGAACGGG